AGUUGGUACGGGCAGACUAGAGUGCAGUAGGGGAGACUGGAAUUCCUGGUGUAGCGGUGAAAUGCGCAGAUAUCAGGAGGAACACCGAUGGCGAAGGCAGGUCUCUGGGCUGUAACUGACGCUGAGGAGCGAAAGCAUGGGGAGCGAACAGGAUUAGAUACCCUGGUAGUCCAUGCCGUAAACGUUGGGCACUAGGUGUGGGGGACAUUCCACGUUUUCCGCGCCGUAGCUAACGCAUUAAGUGCCCCGCCUGGGGAGUACGGCCGCAAGGCUAAAACUCAAAGGAAUUGACGGGGGCCCGCACAAGCGGCGGAGCAUGCGGAUUAAUUCGAUGCAACGCGAAGAACCUUACCAAGGCUUGACAUGAACCGGUUAGACCUGGAAACAGGUCCCCCCACUUGUGGCCGGUUUACAGGUGGUGCAUGGUUGUCGUCAGCUCGUGUCGUGAGAUGUUGGGUUAAGUCCCGCAACGAGCGCAACCCUCGUUCUAUGUUGCCAGCGGGUUAUGCCGGGGACUCAUAGGAGACUGCCGGGGUCAACUCGGAGGAAGGUGGGGACGACGUCAAAUCAUCAUGCCCCUUAUGUCUUGGGCUUCACGCAUGCUACAAUGGCCGGUACAAAGGGUUGCGAUACUGUGAGGUGGAGCUAAUCCCAAAGCCGGUCUCAGUUCGGAUUGAGGUCUGCAACUCGACCUCAUGAAGUUGGAGUCGCUAGUAAUCGCAGAUCAGCAACGCUGCGGUGAAUACGUUCCCGGGCCUUGUACACACCGCCCGUCAAGUCACGAAAGUUGGUAACACCCGAAGCCGGUGGCCUACGG
RNAcentral lists this ribosomal RNA (817 nucleotides) under Arthrobacter koreensis. RNAcentral describes it as "bacterial SSU rRNA". It matches the Rfam family "Bacterial small subunit ribosomal RNA", at positions 625 to 1440 of the family's 1533-position model. The record is from RNAcentral. Lineage: Bacteria; Bacillati; Actinomycetota; Actinomycetes; Micrococcales; Micrococcaceae.